RNAcentral lists this ribosomal RNA (258 nucleotides) under uncultured bacterium. RNAcentral's name for it is "partial 16S ribosomal RNA". It matches the Rfam family "Bacterial small subunit ribosomal RNA", at positions 334 to 589 of the family's 1533-position model. The record is from RNAcentral.
UAUCCCUACGGGGGGCAGCAGUGAGGAAUAUUGGUCAAUGGGCGCAGGCCUGAACCAGCCAAGUAGCGUGAAGGAUGACUGCCCUAUGGGUUGUAAACUUCUCUUAUAUGGGAAUAAAGUUUUCCACGUGUGGAAUUUUGUAUGUACCAUAUGAAUAAGGAUCGGCUAACUCCGUGCCAGCAGCCGCAGUAAUACGGAGGAUCCGAGCGUUAUCCAGAUUUAUUGGGAUUAAAGGAAGCGUAGGUGGCCAGUUAAGUC